Long non-coding RNA from Dermacentor silvarum, 660 nucleotides. RefSeq lists it as uncharacterized. The record is from RefSeq and is a predicted model, not a curated record. Lineage: Eukaryota; Metazoa; Arthropoda; Arachnida; Ixodida; Ixodidae. The transcript is spliced from 2 exons.
GUGCGCAGCAAUGUUCCGGGCGUGAGCAGCGUGUGCUUUAUUUGUGUCUUUUCGACUUUUGUGCGGUUGACCAUGGCCCAAGUACGUGUAUACUAGGCAGAACUGUACAGUUGCGUGCUGAAAUUUCGAGCUGUGCUUCUGACUGCUAUUUGUGGUACGUUUGUUCGCCUUGCGGAGCGCUUACGGGAAUACUCGGGAGGCAAUGUUUUGAUGGUUAAUUUUCGCACAUGUUUGUAUCGCUUGGUUUCCUGCGUUCCUCUUCAAGUGUCAGGGAUAUUUCUCAUUUGCAAUGCAUAUCUCUAAGUCUCUGGCAGCAUUAUGUUAUUGACACUUUUGUGAUCUGAGAAGCUGCCUGACCAAGUUGCCUAUCAAGAUGAACAUUCCAUCUCUGGAUUCUGCUUGCGUGGAAUUUAUUUCACCAUAUAUUUUUCAAUGCAGCUGGAAAGUACUGGCUUUCUAUCUUGAAUCCGGUGGCCCCAGAAGCAAGUGCUGGCAAGCAGGCCAUGCGCUUUUGGUCAUUAAUUAAUCCGCGUUUAACCUGUUUGUAUACAGCGAGAACAUGUAAUGAAUAAUUUCAUACAUGUGCGUGGCUGGGGGCCGAUCAUUUUUGUAAUAAAGCUUUAUCAGUUGUAUAAAUAAAAAAGUAACAUUGGUAUGACA